UACGGAGGGUGCAAGCGUUGUUCGGAAUCAUUGGGCGUAAAGCGCGCGCAGGCGGCUAUUUAAGUCUGGUGUGAAAGCCCGGGGCUCAACCCCGGAAGUGCACUGGAUACUGAGUAGCUAGAGUACAGUAGAGGAAAGUGGAAUUCCUGGUGUAGGGGUGAAAUCCGUAGAUAUCAGGAGGAACAUCGGAGGCGAAGGCGACUUUCUGGGCUGUAACUGACGCUGAGGCGCGAAAGCGUGGGGAGCAAACAGG
Molecule: ribosomal RNA, 253 nt
Filed under: uncultured bacterium
Lineage: Bacteria
Description: partial 16S ribosomal RNA
Rfam family: Bacterial small subunit ribosomal RNA
Source: RNAcentral